This 446-nucleotide ribosomal RNA is filed under the name uncultured bacterium. RNAcentral describes it as "partial 16S ribosomal RNA". It matches the Rfam family "Bacterial small subunit ribosomal RNA", at positions 329 to 792 of the family's 1533-position model. The record is from RNAcentral.
UGCCAGACUCCUACGGGAGGCAGCAGUGGGGAAUAUUGGACAAUGGGGGAAACCCUGAUGCAGCGACGCCGCGUGAGCGAUGAAGUAUUUCGGUAUGUAAAGCUCUAUCAGCAGGGAAGAAAAUGACGGUACCUGACUAAGAAGCCCCGGCUAACUACGUGCCAGCAGCCGCGGUAAUACGUAGGGGGCAAGCGUUAUCCGGAUUUACUGGGUGUAAAGGGAGCGUAGACGGCUGUGCAAGCCAGAUGUGAAAGCCCGGGGCUCAACCCCGGGACUGCAUUUGGAACUGUGUGGCUGGAGUGUCGGAGAGGCAGGCGGAAUUCCUAGUGUAGCGGUGAAAUGCGUAGAUAUUAGGAGGAACACCAGUGGCGAAGGCGGCCUGCUGGACGAUGACUGACGUUGAGGCUCGAAAGCGUGGGGAGCAAACAGGAUUAGAUACCCCAGUA